GGCUCAGAUUGAACGCUGGCGGCAGGCCUAACACAUGCAAGUCGAGCGGUAGCACAGAGAGCUUGCUCUCGGGUGACGAGCGGCGGACGGGUGAGUAAUGUCUGGGAAACUGCCUGAUGGAGGGGGAUAACUACUGGAAACGGUAGCUAAUACCGCAUAACGUCGCAAGACCAAAGUGGGGGACCUUCGGGCCUCAUGCCAUCAGAUGUGCCCAGAUGGGAUUAGCUAGUAGGUGGGGUAACGGCUCACCUAGGCGACGAUCCCUAGCUGGUCUGAGAGGAUGACCAGCCACACUGGAACUGAGACACGGUCCAGACUCCUACGGGAGGCAGCAGUGGGGAAUAUUGCACAAUGGGCGCAAGCCUGAUGCAGCCAUGCCGCGUGUGUGAAGAAGGCCUUCGGGUUGUAAAGCACUUUCAGCGGGGAGGAAGGCGAUACAGGUUAAUAACCUUGUCGAUUGACGUUACCCGCAGAAGAAGCACCGGCUAACUCCGUGCCAGCAGCCGCGGUAAUACGGAGGGUGCAAGCGUUAAUCGGAAUUACUGGGCGUAAAGCGCACGCAGGCGGUCUGUCAAGUCGGAUGUGAAAUCCCCGGGCUCAACCUGGGAACUGCAUUCGAAACUGGCAGGCUAGAGUCUUGUAGAGGGGGGUAGAAUUCCAGGUGUAGCGGUGAAAUGCGUAGAGAUCUGGAGGAAUACCGGUGGCGAAGGCGGCCCCCUGGACAAAGACUGACGCUCAGGUGCGAAAGCGUGGGGAGCAAACAGGAUUAGAUACCCUGGUAGUCCACGCCGUAAACGAUGUCGAUUUGGAGGUUGUGCCCUUGAGGCGUGGCUUCCGGAGCUAACGCGUUAAAUCGACCGCCUGGGGAGUACGGCCGCAAGGUUAAAACUCAAAUGAAUUGACGGGGGCCCGCACAAGCGGUGGAGCAUGUGGUUUAAUUCGAUGCAACGCGAAGAACCUUACCUGGUCUUGACAUCCACAGAACUUAGCAGAGAUGCCUUGGUGCCUUCGGGAACUGUGAGACAGGUGCUGCAUGGCUGUCGUCAGCUCGUGUUGUGAAAUGUUGGGUUAAGUCCCGCAACGAGCGCAACCCUUAUCCUUUGUUGCCAGCGGUUAGGCCGGGAACUCAAAGGAGACUGCCAGUGAUAAACUGGAGGAAGGUGGGGAUGACGUCAAGUCAUCAUGGCCCUUACGACCAGGGCUACACACGUGCUACAAUGGCAUAUACAAAGAGAAGCGACCUCGCGAGAGCAAGCGGACCUCAUAAAGUAUGUCGUAGUCCGGAUUGGAGUCUGCAACUCGACUCCAUGAAGUCGGAAUCGCUAGUAAUCGUAGAUCAGAAUGCUACGGUGAAUACGUUCCCGGGCCUUGUACACACCGCCCGUCACACCAUGGGAGUGGGUUGCUAAAAGAAGUAGUUAGCUUAACCUUCGGGAGGGCGCUU
RNAcentral lists this ribosomal RNA (1444 nucleotides) under Klebsiella sp. Its description in RNAcentral is "bacterial SSU rRNA". It matches the Rfam family "Bacterial small subunit ribosomal RNA". The record is from RNAcentral. Lineage: Bacteria; Pseudomonadati; Pseudomonadota; Gammaproteobacteria; Enterobacterales; Enterobacteriaceae.